UGGUUUCUUUUAUUGGGUGAACCAAUGA
RNAcentral lists this non-coding RNA (28 nucleotides) under Rattus norvegicus (Norway rat). Lineage: Eukaryota; Metazoa; Chordata; Mammalia; Rodentia; Muridae. The record is from RNAcentral.